RNAcentral lists this ribosomal RNA (253 nucleotides) under uncultured bacterium. Its description in RNAcentral is "partial 16S ribosomal RNA". It matches the Rfam family "Bacterial small subunit ribosomal RNA", at positions 524 to 776 of the family's 1533-position model. The record is from RNAcentral.
UACGGAGGGAGCUAGCGUUGUUCGGAAUCACUGGGCGUAAAGCGCACGUAGGCGGACUCUUAAGUCGGCGGUGAAAUCCUGGAGCUCAACUCCAGAACUGCCUUCGAUACUGGGAGUCUCGAGUUCGGGAGAGGUGAGUGGAACUGCGAGUGUAGAGGUGAAAUUCGUAGAUAUUCGCAAGAACACCAGUGGCGAAGGCGGCUCACUGGCCCGAUACUGACGCUGAGGUGCGAAAGCGUGGGGAGCAAACAGG